RNAcentral lists this ribosomal RNA (460 nucleotides) under uncultured bacterium. RNAcentral describes it as "partial 16S ribosomal RNA". It matches the Rfam family "Bacterial small subunit ribosomal RNA", at positions 338 to 795 of the family's 1533-position model. The record is from RNAcentral.
CCUACGGGUGGCAGCAGUGAGGAAUAUUGGUCAAUGGACGAGAGUCUGAACCAGCCAAGUAGCGUGAAGGAUGACUGCCCUAUGGGUUGUAAACUUCUUUUAUAUGGGAAUAAAACGUUCCACGUGUGGGAUUUUGUAUGUACCAUAUGAAUAAGGAUCGGCUAACUCCGUGCCAGCAGCCGCGGUAAUACGGAGGAUCCGAGCGUUAUCCGGAUUUAUUGGGUUUAAAGGGAGCGUAGGUGGAUUGUUAAGUCAGUUGUGAAAGUUUGCGGCUCAACCGUAAAAUUGCAGUUGAAACUGGCAGUCUUGAGUACAGUAGAGGUGGGCGGAAUUCGUGGUGUAGCGGUGAAAUGCUUAGAUAUCACGAAGAACUCCGAUUGCGAAGGCAGUUCACUGGACUGCAACUGACACUGAGGCUCGAAAGUGUGGGUAUCAAACAGGAGUAGAUACCCUAGUAGUC